Molecule: transfer RNA, 81 nt
Filed under: Notoacmeibacter sp.
Lineage: Bacteria; Pseudomonadati; Pseudomonadota; Alphaproteobacteria; Hyphomicrobiales; Notoacmeibacteraceae
Description: tRNA-Ala
Rfam family: tRNA
About the family: Transfer RNA (tRNA) molecules are approximately 80 nucleotides in length. Their secondary structure includes four short double-helical elements and three loops (D, anti-codon, and T loops).
Source: RNAcentral
GGGGCCAUAGCUCAGCUGGGAGNNNAGAGCGCCUGCAUGGCAUGCAGGAGGUCAGCGGUUCGAUCCCGCUUGGCUCCACCA